UGAUCAAGUGAAAUGAUAUAAUAUCUGUAUCAGAUGAGAUUGUUGGACAUAACUAACAAAAAAAGGGAUUUAUUAUAAUAUCAUUGCAGGUAGCAUGAGAGGGAAAAGAGCAAAAGACUCUAAUGAGUAGAUGCCGCUCAUCUUGCCGGGACAAACCAACAAGAAUUCCUGAAUAAACAAGCAAGCAAAAGCAACGGAGUCCUUUUCUCUUCCUGGCUUUUGGAGCCCUGGAGGAAAAUUUAACCCAGUGUCACUUAUGACGUUCCAUUCAGACUCUCAGAGGGUUUUGGACUCUAAGAGAUUAUCCACAGAGAAAAUGGUGAGCUUCGUGCGACAGACAGACUGAAUUCUGAGCAGCUUUGUCUCCAAAAGAGCCUGAGAAAAUCAGGUUUAUUAUACCCCCAUUCUGACGAGGAGGAGAAAGAGAGGAAGGAGGAGGAGGUGGAGGAGGAGGAGGUGGAGGAGGAGGAGGAGGAGGAGGAGAAGCAGCACUAACAGUCUAUUUCAGAGAUGUUAAAAAAUAAAGAACAGUGUAUCUUAAGAUGGGUGGAAGAUGAUAAGAAAGCCAGUUCCUGCUUUAAAACUGUUCAGAAGCAUUUGAGGUCACAGCACCACCACCAAACAACAACAGCAACAAUGCCAACAUAAGUUAAUUCAUCAAGUGAAAGGUAGGAGGGAAGGCAACUGUUUCAAGAUAGACACCAAUUUUCACAAAUAUCUUGGACUAACAUCUCAUAAUUCAAAGUUGCAAAUCUUGGAAUAUCAUCUGAUGAAAGGCCUAAACUCAAGAUUGUCAGAAUUUCUUCAGAUCUCCCCAAGUCCUAACUUCAAGACUGCAAAGUCUCUUCUGAUUCACUACCUGGUGCUUAGUUUUUUACUAUAAGAAGAGGUUUGAAAUCUCCUCUCCUUGUCACAGUGUCAGAAGCCUGAAUUCUGACUGUGGUCCUCGCUAGCUAGAUUAUUUCUGCCACGUGGUGUCUGGAAUGAAGUUUGUUUCCAGUUAAUAGUCUUCAGUGGUUUGUUCCCCAUUAUUUGCACAUCGUCAGGACCCAAUACUAGAACUAAUAGAGACCCAGGAAGAUGGCAUGGUAAGGUGGGAUGUGAUCUAGUGUUUGAGGUCUGCACUUGGUUGGAGUCGGGCAGGGGAAAAAGGAUCUUAGACUAGCAUACUGUGGAGUCAGAUCCAGUAAUGCUGUGCAUGAAAAGAAAGGACUUGUGGAGCCUGGAUACCAAGCUUGUAUUGGAUGGUUAGUUCUGAAACACCUAUAGGGGAAGCAUAAAGGAAAAUAAAAACCAUUCAAGUUUUUCAUAAUCCCAUUUUUUGUCACCUAUACAGAGCUAUAUAAUCAACAAACAUUAAGCAGCUGUAAUGUGCCAGAUUCUAAAUAAUAAGUAAUACACUAUCACGUGGAACAGACAAAAUAAAGAGACAAUCAUAAUAUAUCUGUCACCGUGAAAGUGAUUGGUUGAGCAACUAUUAGUUGCCAGGUACUAUGCAAGUAACCCAUUAUAUCUUGUAUGUAAGAACAGAAGUUUAUUUUAGAAAUAAGAAACCAUGAAACUUAGUGAUGUGGAGUUUUCUCUGCACCUUUUUAAAAAUACUGUUAAAAAUGGAAUUUGUACUUAUGGUAUUUCAUUGACUACCUAAAUUUUUCUUAUUCUUUUUCUUUUAUUAAUUAAAUUUCUUUCCAGCUUCCCUUCCUCCUUCAGUUCCCCCAACCCACUUCUCCUCUGCCCAACCCUCAAUCCUCUUCCCUGUUUCUGUUCCAAUCAAAAUUUCCACUUCCUCCCCUCCUCCCACUUCCCUCCUGUUCCCCCCACACCCCUACCCCCUCUAGUCCCAAGAGAGGGCAAGGCACCCUGCCCUGUGAAAAGUCCAAGGCCCUCCCAGCCACAUCUAGGCCUAGGAAGGUAUGCAUCCAAAGAGAAUAGGAUGCCAAAAAGCCAGCACAUGCAGUGGAGAAAAAUCCCAGUGCCACUACCAUUGGCCCCCCAGUCCACCCUAAUUGUCAGCCACAUUCAGAGGGUCCAGUUUGAUCCCAUGCUUGUUCAGGCCCAGUCCAGCUAGAGUUGGUGAGCUCCCAUUAGCUCAGGCAUACUGUCUCAGUGGAUGAACCAACCCCUUGUGGUCCUGACUUUCUUGCUCAUAUUCUUCCUCCUUACAUCUUCAACUCGACCUUGAGAGCUCAGUCCAGUGAUCCGAUGUGAGUCUCUGUAUCUAACUCCAUGGUGAUAUUCAAGAUAGUCAUCAGUCUGACUAAGGGACAAGGCCAGUUCAGGUACCCUUUCCUCUACUUCCCAGGGUCCUAGCUGGGGUCAUCCCCAUGGACUCCUGGAAACCCUUCCAGAGCCAAGCCACUUACCAACCCCAAAAUGGCUCCCUCAAUUAAGAUAUCUUCUUCCCUGCUCCCAUAUCCAUCCUUCCUCCAUUUCAACAAUCCUACACCCCCAAGCUCUACUCAACCCUCCCCUUCUCUCCUCUCUCUUCCCCUCUCCCCUUCCUCCAACUCCCAUGCUCCCAACUUUUGCCUGGUGAUCUUGUCUGCUUCCAAUUUCCAGGAGAAUCUAUAUAUGUUUUUCUUUGGGUUCACCUUAUUACUUAGCUUCUCUAGGAUCAUGAACUAUAGGCUCAAUGUCUUUUGUUUAUGGCUAGAAUCUGCUAAUGAGUGAGUAUAUACCAUAUUCAUAUUUUUGGGUCUGGGUUAUCUCACUCAGGAUAGCGUUUUCUACUUCCAUCCGUUUGCGUGCAAAAUUUAAGAUACAUUGACUACCUAAAUUAUGCAAAGACAUAAUUAUACAGGAAGCAAGAUUCAGGAAAAUGAAUUUGGGUCACUUCCUGCACUUAGGUGUGUAGUAUUCUCUUCAAUUGUCUCUUUCCCUUAAAGCCUGUGCUUAAAUAUAUUU
Long non-coding RNA from Alexandromys fortis (reed vole), 2904 nucleotides. RefSeq lists it as uncharacterized. NCBI's taxonomy places the organism in Eukaryota, Metazoa, Chordata, Mammalia, Rodentia, Cricetidae. The transcript is spliced from 4 exons. The record is from RefSeq and is a predicted model, not a curated record.